GGGGGUGUAGCUCAGCUGGGGAGAGCGGCUGCUUUGCAAGCAGUAGGUAGCGGGUUCGAGUCCUGUCACCUCCACCA
Molecule: transfer RNA, 77 nt
Filed under: Candidatus Aalborgicola lynettensis
Lineage: Bacteria; Pseudomonadati; Pseudomonadota; Betaproteobacteria; Burkholderiales; Comamonadaceae
Description: tRNA-Ala
Rfam family: tRNA
About the family: Transfer RNA (tRNA) molecules are approximately 80 nucleotides in length. Their secondary structure includes four short double-helical elements and three loops (D, anti-codon, and T loops).
Source: RNAcentral